Non-coding RNA from Podarcis lilfordi (Lilford's wall lizard), 76 nucleotides. The record is from the annotation of a GenBank genome assembly. Lineage: Eukaryota; Metazoa; Chordata; Lepidosauria; Squamata; Lacertidae.
UUCCUCUUGUUGCACAAUGGGGCAGUGCGUCUGGCUGUUAACCAGAAGGUUGGUGGUUCGAGCUCACCCAGGGAAA